UACGUAGGGCGCAAGCGUUAUCCGGAAUUAUUGGCGUAAGAGCUCGUAGGCGGUUGUCGCGUCUGCCGUGAAAGUCCGGGCCAACUCGAUCUGCGGUGGUACGGCAGACUAGAGUGAUGUAGGGAGACUGAAUCUGUGUAGCGUGAAAUGCGCAGAUAUCAGAGACACGUGCGAAGCGGUCUCUGCAGUACUGACGCUGAGAGCGAAGCGUGGGGAGCGAACAG
RNAcentral lists this ribosomal RNA (224 nucleotides) under uncultured bacterium. Its description in RNAcentral is "partial 16S ribosomal RNA". It matches the Rfam family "Bacterial small subunit ribosomal RNA", at positions 524 to 775 of the family's 1533-position model. The record is from RNAcentral.